CGUGUAGGCGGUGCGGUAAGUUGGGCGUGAAAUCCCCGAGCUUAACUCGGGUGGGCCGUUCAAGACUGCCGUGCUAGGGUGCGGGAGAGGGAAGUGGAAUUUCCGGUGUAGCGGUGAAAUGCGUAGAUAUCGGGAGGAACACCUGCGGCGAAGGCGGCUUCCUGGACCGUAACCGACGCUGAGGCGCGAAAGCUAGGGGAGCAAACAGGAUUAGAUACCCUGGUAGUCCUAGCCCUAAACGAUGAGCACUGGGUGUGGCCCCUCACGGGGCCGUGCCGAAGCUAACGCAUUAAGUGCUCCGCCUGGGGAGUACGGCCGCAAGGCUGAA
RNAcentral lists this ribosomal RNA (328 nucleotides) under uncultured bacterium. Its description in RNAcentral is "bacterial SSU rRNA". It matches the Rfam family "Bacterial small subunit ribosomal RNA", at positions 568 to 898 of the family's 1533-position model. The record is from RNAcentral.